AUGGUGUGUUUCGUACAGAACUCCAAUAAAUUCUUCUCAAUUCUUCUCCCCUGUUCUUUUCGAGCAGCGAUACGCUUACGGCACGCACCACGCCGCCGGCUAUUUAUAUCCCACCUCCGAAAACUUGUGCGCGUUCCCCCGUUUUUUCCACCAUUUCCACGAUUUUCCUUCGGCGUCCCGGGCCGUGCAUUCCUGCCCAGCCCCAGCUGCCCCCUGCACUCGGAGGGCUCCAGCGCUGCCGGCCCAGCCCGGGGCACGGCCGGGCAGGGCCACCCCGAGCUCCCCGGGGGCAAGGAGCCCCCGCCCGCUGCGCGCUCCCCGAGGGAUGCUGCGGAGCCAAGGCUGCAGCAGAGGGGCUCUCGGAGGUGUUUUAUUUUCUUUUUUGUCGUUGCUUUUUCCUUCCCCUUCUUUCUCCCAACCUGGCCAACUUUUUUUUUUUUUUUUACUUUACUUUUUUUUUUUCUUCUUCUUCUGUACUUUUUUUUUUUUUUUUUCCCCUCGCAAAAGCCACGCCGUGGAAAGCCGGGGUGGCGGCGGUGGUGGUGCUGGUGGUGGUGGAGGAGGGAGAAACCCCUCCCCUUCCCCUCCCCCGUGGCUCCUUCCUCGGAAAAGCAGCACUUGGGGGGUUUCCUCCCCUUCCCCUCCGCGCCGCUCCCCGCGGCCGAGGAGGGCCCGGCGGGCUGCCGCCGGCCCGGGCCAGCCCCGGGAAGCCCCGGUAAGAGGGCGGGCAGCGGCCCCUCGCCCAUCUCGGGGGCCGGGGAGGCGAGGGGGGGCCGGGGGAGGGAUGCGCGGGGCGGCGGGGAGCGAGGCCGCCUCGGUUUCGCUUCGGGGCGGGGGAGCGGGGGCAGGGGCCGGGGCCGGGCCGGGCAGCGCCGCUGUCGCCCCGGCACUGAGCGCUCGCUCGCACCCGCGGCCCCUCCGGCAGCCCCGAGCGGAGCUCAGGAGGAGCCGAGGGCAAAUCGGGCUCCGCUGCCUCCGAGCCGGCUCGUCGGGGAGCGCGUGAUGGAUCCGCGCUGGAGGAAAGCUCCGCAAAAGCAGCGAAGCGCUGUGUCGGCACUCCCGGCGUUGGACUGCUUCCAGGCCUGACCUCCAGCUGCUCACCCCUAUGGAUGGCAAAUUGAGAGAGGCUGGACGCGAAGGAGGAAGGAUGGUCACGGCAGCGUCUUCCCAGGAUCCAUGGGCUCUUUGAGAGAUGAUCAGAGGGAGGCCAGAUGAUCUGCACAACACGCACGCCACUGUUUCUCAUCCGCAAAGGCAGCAUCGGAGCGUCCUCCCCAGCCCCGCGCCGCCCGGCUUGCCCGAUCGCUUCCGGAUGUUUCGCAGCUGCGAGUGGGAGGUCCUGGAGCGGUCCCUCAACAUCCUCCAGGCCAGCGACUUCUACUGGGGUCCCCUGUCCGUGGGGGAGGCCCACGCCAAGCUCCAGCGGGAGCCCGUCGGCACCUACUUGGUGCGGGACAGCUCGCAGGGCAACUGCUUGUUCAGCCUGAGCGUGCGGAUGCCCACGGGGCCCGUCAGCCUCCGCAUCUCUUUCCAGGAGGGUUAUUUCCGCCUGAAGAACUGGUUUUCGGACUGCGUGGUCCGGCUGCUGGAGCUGGUGGUGGCGGGGACCCGCAACAACCCCUUGCACUUUGAUGAGAUGGGGGGAACCCCCCUGGUCUUCUCGGAGCCCCUGUGCCGGAGCCGCCGAGCGGUGCCCACGCUUCGAGAACUGUGCCGCCGGCGCCUGCCUGCUGGCGCUGCUGCCGCGGGGGACACCACAGGGACGUGCCCGCAGGAGGUGGUGGCGUCACCCCCGGGCAGGAGACGGGGGUCAGAGCAAAGUGUUGGCUCCAGCCCCUCCGCAGCCGGGGCUGGGAGAUGAUGGCGGGCAUGUGGGAGGUGAAGGGACGCGCCUGCCGCCUGGCUGUGCCGGCGGGGCCGGGGUAGCUGCUCGGAGAGGCAGGGGAGGGCAGGUGCCCCAACCCAUUGGCCAUGAGAGCUGUGUCCUUGGGGGUGCACAGCACGUGUGGCCUUCCCUGCAAUGGCUGGGGUAAAGCCAGAGUGGGGGAGCAGUGGCUUCCACCCCCUGGGCCCUGCUCUUUGCUCCAGUCAUGCCUUAUAAGCUUGAGAGCGGGGCGAGCUGCCUGUCCCCCCAGGUCAGCCCCGCUGCCCCAAAGUGCCUGAGCUAGUCUGUGCUAAGUAUGUGCCCUCGUGCAGCGAUACGGCUGGCACCGGUCCCACAGCGCUGCGGCCUGGGCACGGCCCCGUGCUGCCCGGAGAGCCACAAGGGCAGGAGCGCGCCCUGCUCCUCGCCGCACAAACAGACGUCAGCACUUGCACCCGGGGAGAACUGCUGCAGCUCUUAUAGUACGUGCAGCUUCGCUGCCUUUUGCCUCGCUUUAUUUGAACAGGUUUUUGGGAGUGCAGAUGGGUUUAUACUACGGGCAGUGCGUUCCAGCGGAGGCAGUCCCGGUCCAGAGGGCCUGGGCUGCUCUGCGAGGGUGAGAACAGAUCAAUCCUGUGCCCUUCCUUACGCUCAUCUGAUAGUAUGCUGCUGCCAUCUAUGGACUGUACAAAGAUGUUUUGGUUUUGUCUCAAAAAAAAUGGCAAAGAAUUUUUAUACAACUUUUUAAAUGUUAAUAAACAUGUUUUUGUACUUCUUUUUAAAAGCUAA
Molecule: long non-coding RNA, 2653 nt
Filed under: Anas platyrhynchos platyrhynchos (common mallard)
Lineage: Eukaryota; Metazoa; Chordata; Aves; Anseriformes; Anatidae
Description: lncRNA (ENSAPLG00000027395.1)
Source: RNAcentral